UGAGGAUACCAUCUCCAAGCAGGUGGAGUAUUUGAUCCCUUUAGCAAGGCAGUGAUUUUGAAAUUCGGGUUUAGACAAAAAGAUAUUUCAAGCUCCUGAAGAACAAGUUUGAAGGAUUCAGAGCAGAGAAUUGCACCCUGGCAUGAUGCCUAUGCCAGCUGGACUGUGUGAUUUUUGUUCUUUAGUAGAAGGAUAACAUGACAUAGCAGGAAUAAUACUGCCUUUUCUUUCUGGCGUGGAUCAAGAGAAAAGAAAAUACAAGAAAACAGACAGAAGCAAGGCAAGGUACUUCUAUAGAAGCGUGAGCCCUCACAGAUGGAGCAAUGGUGCGCGCACACCUGAACAAGGGAGGGGAAGGAGUUCUUAUCCCUGAUGCAUGUGGCCCCUGCUGCUGUGGCCUUCCCCUAUUGGCUAAGGUUAGACCACACAGGCUAAACUAAUUCCGAUUGGCUAAUUUAAAGAGAGCGACAGGGCUUCUGAUAGCUUUGGAGAUUGUGACAUUGGAAUAAAGGAAAAACCUACAGGACUCAUGAAGAGCUGAAAUGUUCACAAAUAUCAAGCAAAAGUCAAUGAAAUUUAUUUUGAGCUAUUUACAGCGUUUAAUAAUUGAGCAAGGUAUACUCCUAUGAACAAAAUUUGGAGCAUGUUUGUCUCUCUCUCUCUCUGCCUGGCGUCUUCAGAAUUUGGAAACUAGUUAUGGUUUAUAAUCAGCUAUAGAAUUUUAACACGUGCUCUCAAAUGCAAGUUUCUGAUAACUUUGGAGAUUGUGACAUUGGAAUAAAGGAAGAGCUGGAAUGUUCACGAAUAUCAAGCAAAGUAAGAGUUAACUAAACACACUAAACUAAUAUAAAACUGAAGUAAUCUUUUUGACACUUGCUUGGAACAUUGCCGAUCUUUGUUUUCUUUUUCAUAGUCAUGGAAAUUUAUUUUGAGCUAUUUACAGCAUUUAAUAAUUGAGCAAGGUAUACUCCUAUGAACAAAAUUUGGAGCAUGUUUGUCUCUCUCUGUCUGCCUGGCAUCUACAGAAUUUGGAAACUAGUUGAUGCAAUUGGAGAAACUGGUUGUUUUACCAAGGCUUUGACUGGAAGGAUAUGCUUCCCUUUAAGGAACCAAGCUCAACUUACAGAGCUGAUAAAACCCCUUUGGGAAAACUGGCCUCAUACCUUGUCUACACAGUCCCCAUGCAGGGUUCCUAACCUGUGUCUUUCCCAGAUUUCCUAAACUUUCCAGAGAAAAUGGUCUUCUCCCUGGCUCAGCAAGAAGAUGAACUUUAAACACUGAGAAACUGGUCAUCUCCCUGGCUCAACCAGAAGAUGAACUUUAAACACUACUCUCAAUGACUUGAUGUUCCCAUCACUACUCCUGUCAUAAAGGGAGUGGACUCAGAUAUUGAGAAUUUUAUGAUAGUGUGAACUGUCUGCUGUCAGCCAGGAGGGCAGAGCUGAAAUUUAUUGCCACAUCACAUGAAGCCACAUCACAUGAAGCAUAGAACAGACUCCGCUACUCCUUGAGAUUCAAAACUUUGCCUCUCACAAAGUUACCUUUUAUUUUCCUCUUGUUUGUCACUCUUCUCCCCUACUGUGCUCUUUUUAUUUCUUUUACUAUUAAUAAUAAAAUCUGUGGAUGACUGUAUUAUUGAAUGCUUACCUUAGUACAAUAAUUCAAGAAGUAUUUGAAUAUUGCAUCAUUGGCUUUAGAAAACAAAUAUUUAUAGGCCAUUUCAACUUCAUAUAUAUAUAUAUAUAUUUAAUUUUCACUAAUUGAACGUACCCACAAAACUAGCAUCCAAAUCAAGAAUGCAAAUACUGCCAACAUUCCAGAAGUUUCUAUAAUACUUCAUUCAGAUCACUACCUGCCUGCUCAAAAGAUAACCAUUACAGCCAGGCGUGGUGGCUCACACCUGUAAUCCCAGCACUUUGGGAGGCCGAGGCAGGUGGAUCACCUGAAAUCAGGAGUUUGAGACCAGCCUGGCCAACAUGAUGAAACCCCAUCUCUACUAAACAUGGAAAAAAAAAAUUUAGCCGGGCAUGGUGGUGCACGCCUGUAAUCCCAGCUACUCUGGAGGCUGAGGUGGGAGAACUGCUUGAACCUGGGAGGCAGAGGCUGUAGUGAGCCGAGAUUGUGCCACUGCACUCCAGCCUAGGCGACACAGCAAGACCUGGUUUCAAAAAAAACAAACAAACAAACAAAAAAAACUAUUACUCUGAAUUUUUGCCUUUUUUACCUUCUGUAGUUUAUUUUUUUCUUAGCCCUGAUUCAAUUAUAUCAGGCAUUGUUAAAAUUGAAUUAAAAUCUGAACACAGUGAAAUGUACAAAUAUUAAGUAUACAAUUUGAUGAGCUUUACAAAUGUACACACCUCCAUACAUAUCUCAAUAGCGAUAGAGUCAUCCAAGAAAAUUUCCUUGUGCUUUCUUAUUAUAGCCAGUCCAUACACACCACAGACAAAAACGUUUCCUGAUUUCCAUUACCUUAAAUUUAUUUUGCCCAAUUUUAGCCUGUCACAUAAAUGAAAUCAUGUAGCAUGCGUAUUCUGGGGGAGUCUGACUUCUUUCGCAAUCAAGAUGUCAUUUCAAAAUUUCAUCCAUGUUUCCUCAUAACUCGGAGGCACCAGGUAGCUAAUUGGGAACGAUGGUUUGUAGAGUUCCUAGAAUAACAAAGCUGAACACAGAAAGCUGAGUUUGAAGCAGAGACACAAUAGCUUAAGAACUGGCACAAGCCAAGAGGUAAAUAUAAAGGUUAUUAUAAUAAUUGGUGACUUCAAAAUAGCUGUGGUAGCCUCAGACCAGAAGCUAGCUCAAACAAACAAACAAACAAACAAACAAACCAAACACCAGCAUAGAAACACUGAGAUAACUGACAUCAGAAUUUGGAAGUUGGAAGAUAUUUCCACUAACUAUAAGGUUAAUGGAACUAGGUUGGGAAAAGUAAUUACGCACUUGGAAAUAGUUUACUUAUGUAGUGGAGCAGAGUCCACAACAAAAGACAGAAAUAAAUUUCAUUUAAAGUCUGACCCAGAGAACCCAGGUUUCUACUAACUGGAAAACCAGAUAGUUACCAUUAUGAUGGACAGUUGAUACGUUCUGAGGAGGUUUUUGUACCCUUGCCCAUAGUUUUACAGCCAUUUGGGGAUUUCAAUUCUAAGAAAUCAAUGCUGCAGAGAGUCAGAAAGACUGAAAAUGGUGUAGCAGUAUAGAGUAUUGCAACCUGUAAGCAAUUUUAUAAAAAAAAAUCACUUUCAGCAGGGUGGAUAUGAGAAUAUUCUUGGAAAUAGUGAAUUCUCAACAUCAUGUUGUUCUUUAUUUUAAAUUAUCAGAAAACUAAGCAGUAAUCUUAUUUGAGGCUGCAUACAAGAAACCUGUGUUCUAUGAAUGCAAUUGUCUUAUGAGAAUAGAACAGAAUACCGUACUCUAAAGAUAAACUUGUCAAAUGUAGAUAUAGGCAA
This is a long non-coding RNA of Gorilla gorilla gorilla (western lowland gorilla), 3443 nucleotides long. RefSeq lists it as uncharacterized. NCBI's taxonomy places the organism in Eukaryota, Metazoa, Chordata, Mammalia, Primates, Hominidae. The record is from RefSeq and is a predicted model, not a curated record. The transcript has 8 exons.